Molecule: ribosomal RNA, 468 nt
Filed under: uncultured bacterium
Lineage: Bacteria
Description: partial 16S ribosomal RNA
Rfam family: Bacterial small subunit ribosomal RNA
Source: RNAcentral
GACGAACGCUGGCGGCGUGCUUAACACAUGCAAGUCGAACGGAAAGGCCCUGCUUUUGUGGGGUGCUCGAGUCGCGAACGGGUGAGUAACCCGGGAGUCACCUGCCCUUGGCUUUAGGAUGACUUCAGAAAGCUGCUGCUAAUGCCGGAUAGGAGCGCCUGCUGCAUGGUGGGGGUUGGACAGUUUCGGCGGAUGUGGAUGGACUCGCGGCUAAUCAGCUUGUGGGUGGAGUAGUGGCUUAGCAAGGCUUUGGCGGGUGGGCGGCCUGGGAGGGUGACCGGCCACAUUGGGACUGAGAGACGGCCCAGUGGCCAACGGUAGGCAGCAGUGGGGAAUAUUGUACAGCGGGCUGAAGUCUGAUGCAGCAAUGCUGCGUGUGGGAUGCAGUUCAUCGGGUUGGAAACCGCUUUCGCUUGUGACGAAGCGUGAGUGACGUUAAUGGGUAAAGAAGCACCGGCUAACUACGUG